Molecule: long non-coding RNA, 1095 nt
Organism: Acyrthosiphon pisum (pea aphid)
Lineage: Eukaryota; Metazoa; Arthropoda; Insecta; Hemiptera; Aphididae
Exons: 3
Source: RefSeq, a predicted model, not a curated record
CCUCCUCAAGAAUUGGCAAUUUACACUAUACUUAAAGCAGCUAUUGAAGAACUUAUUAAAGUGAAACUGAUUAUAAAUGCAGAAGAACAUGACAAAUUUGAUCGUCUACCUAAUAUUAAUGCUGAACAAAAAGAAGUACUCAAUACAACGCAAAAACUACAUCUAAUUUCCAAAGAAUGUGUUGGUUUGAGUGGGCGUGUUCUAAAAAAAAUUACUUUUAUAGCACAUUCCAUAUACAUACGUCAACCACAAUGUGAUGGUGUUCAUCAGUUUUUGGUGGCCUUACAUAAAGCGGUGAAGUAUCAAAAAACACAAGAUGCUGGCCUUACUAAAAUUAAAUAGUUUAAUAUGUUUUUAUAUUUAUUAUUGUAAAUUACAAAUAUGAUUUAAUAGUAAUUUGUAGUUAUAUCUCAAAUAGUUUUGUUUUAAUGAUAAUAAAAUAUAUAAAAUAUACAAUAUACAAUUUUACUUAUUAUUUUGACAAACCAGAUUAAACCAGAACUAAUUAUAAUGAAUAUUUGAGUCUUAUAAACAGAUUAUUUUAUACAUUGUUUAGAAUAGAUUUAUGAAUAUUAUGUUAUUUACUCUUUAUACAUGCAAUUUGAACCUUAAUUUACAUUAUUAUUAUUAUUAUUAUUAUUAUUUGCUUGGAAAUGUUGGUAUCUAGUAUAGUUAGGGGGGUGGGAAGACUAAUAAAACCUCGAAUAAAACAAAAUCAUUAAUUUAUUGUUGGAAACAUAAGUAUUGCUGUUUGUAUGUAUGGCACAGAAUUAUAUUAUGUUCUAAUUACUAAAAUUAUUUAUAUUAUUAUUAAAAAAUGCUAUUAUAAAGUAAAAAUAGUUGUAUAAAUUAAAACCAAAUUUGGUUUUUUAUGUUAAAUUGAUUUCAUUAAAGAAGUGUUGAUUUAACAAUAUUAUAUUUUAUGUUCAAAUAACAUUUAGUUAGUAACUAAUAAUUAUUGAAUAGUGAAUAUUUUGACUGUUUUGUAAUUAGUGUAGCAAAUUUAUUAAUUAAAUUAUAAUCUAUUUUAAUCAAAAUUCACUCAACUAAGAAUUAACUUUCUGUUCUAUUAAUAAAUUCAUGUACAUAAAUCAA